RNAcentral lists this long non-coding RNA (235 nucleotides) under Elaeis guineensis (African oil palm). Its description in RNAcentral is "long non-coding RNA (EGUI_LNC067528)". Lineage: Eukaryota; Viridiplantae; Streptophyta; Magnoliopsida; Arecales; Arecaceae. The record is from RNAcentral.
GUUGGUCUGAGAAGCUCCAGCUCAUACUCCGGUGGAACCCCAUACUGAAUCCUUAUCAGUGAGAGCUCAUCCAGAGUCAAAGAACUGAGGAUGGUAUCCGGUGCAAAGACCUGACAAGGUUCAAUCCCGAUUAUGGGUCCGUCUAUGGUACAAGGACUCUAGGAAACUGGGGCUGAUGAACUCCUGGAACCACUAGAAGAGGAGAUAUCGGAAGACAUUUUAGAUCAAAUAGAAG